RNAcentral lists this ribosomal RNA (253 nucleotides) under uncultured bacterium. RNAcentral's name for it is "partial 16S ribosomal RNA". It matches the Rfam family "Bacterial small subunit ribosomal RNA", at positions 524 to 776 of the family's 1533-position model. The record is from RNAcentral.
UACGGGGGGGGCAAGCGUUGUUCGGAAUUACUGGGCGUAAAGGGCUCGUAGGUGGCCAACUAAGUCGGACGUGAAAUCCCUCAGCUUAACUGGGGAACUGCGUCCGAUACUGGAUGGCUCGAGUUUGGGAGAGGGAUGCGGAAUUCCAGGUGUAGCGGUGAAAUGCGUAGAUAUCUGGAGGAACACCGGUGGCGAAGGCGGCAUCCUGGACCGAUACUGACGCUGAGGAGCGAAAGCCAGGGGAGCAAACGGG